UACGUAGGAUGCAAGCGUUGUCCGGUUUUAUUGGGUUUAAAGGGUUCGGAGGCGGCCUAUUAAGUUAGUGGUGAAAACGUUCGGCUUAACCGCAUACCCGCCAUUGAUACUGAUAGACUUGAGUGCGACAGAGGGUGUUGGAAUGUGUGGUGUAGCGGUGAAAUGCUUAGAUAUCACGCAGAACACCAAUUGCGAAGGCAGAUGCCUAUGUCGUAACUGACACUGAGGCACGAAAGCGUGGGGAGCAAACAGG
Molecule: ribosomal RNA, 253 nt
Filed under: uncultured bacterium
Lineage: Bacteria
Description: partial 16S ribosomal RNA
Rfam family: Bacterial small subunit ribosomal RNA
Source: RNAcentral